Molecule: long non-coding RNA, 886 nt
Filed under: Triticum aestivum (bread wheat)
Lineage: Eukaryota; Viridiplantae; Streptophyta; Magnoliopsida; Poales; Poaceae
Description: long non-coding RNA (TAES_LNC000905)
Source: RNAcentral
UUUUUUUCAGUGUCGGUGUUCAGUGUUUACUCAGUUUAGGGCCAUCAGUUGCUAAAAUCUAGUUUAAUCAUAUUGUUCCUAUCAUCGACGCCUGCAACUCUACACUAACAUUGACACCGGUGUGUUUGUCGCAGAUGGAUCAAUUGCUUCAUUAGAUAAAAGAAACACCACACCCUGCCAACAAUACAAUAAUUCUCGUUGUGUCAACAUAUAUUCAGGACCAUACCUUCCAGAGGUAUACUCUAAUAAUGCGGUACUUGUAUUGCAAGUGAAGCAUGAGCAGAAUAGGUAAAUCGUAAGGGUAAAAGUUUAUCCUCAGCUGGUGCAGCAAGAUUGGAAAUAGACAAACGAGCAGUAUGAUUAUAAACAUUUUUCAUGUUUUCCAACUAAAAAGAAAGUUUCCAUAUGACUGUCAGUACUUGCAUAUGAACAAGUUAAUAACUGGGAUUUAUGUUACAAGUCUGCAGUAUAUUAUUUGCUACUCAACUCUUGUCACUCACUUCGUUGAUUUUGAAUGCCCUUUUUGAUGCCCAAAUGAGGAAACCGUCACUAAUUUUCAUGUUCCAGAUUUUAUCUUGCCAGAAUUCUCACUAUUAGAACCUGUACUUACAACCAGUUAUUGUUCCUGACUUCAUUUUUGUGCAGGUUUGAUGCAAUUGAGGAUUAACCCAUGUUUUCUUGUGCGUCGGCAGGUGAAGACGUUCAUGGCUGGGGUCACAACAAUCUCGUAAGUGUAGCGCUUAGAUUAGGAAGAAAUAAAUCUUGUAGAUGUAGUACGUGGCUUUUGAAGUUCAGAUGGACAACUUUUGUAAAGUUUAUGUUAUUUUUUGUAUCAAAUUCUUGCGAUGUUCCCACGUGUAAAUAUCUUGACGUUUUUACAUGGAAA